This 496-nucleotide ribosomal RNA is filed under the name uncultured bacterium. RNAcentral's name for it is "partial 16S ribosomal RNA". It matches the Rfam family "Bacterial small subunit ribosomal RNA", at positions 29 to 507 of the family's 1533-position model. The record is from RNAcentral.
AUGAACGCUGGCGGCGUGCCUAAUACAUGCAAGUCGAGCGAACAGACGAGGAGCUUGCUCCUCUGACGUUAGCGGCGGACGGGUGAGUAACACGUGGAUAACCUACCUAUAAGACUGGGAUAACUUCGGGAAACCGGAGCUAAUACCGGAUAAUAUAUUGAACCGCAUGGUUCAAUAGUGAAAGACGGUUUUGCUGUCACUUAUAGAUGGAUCCGCGCCGCAUUAGCUAGUUGGUAAGGUAACGGCUUACCAAGGCAACGAUGCGUAGCCGAACUGAGAGGGGGAUCGGCCACACUGGAACUGAGACACGGUCCAGACUCCUACGGGAGGCAGCAGUAGGGAAUCUUCCGCAAUGGGCGAAAGCCUGACGGAGCAACGCCGCGUGAGUGAUGAAGGUCUUCGGAUCGUAAAACUCUGUUAUUAGGGAAGAACAAAUGUGUAAGUAACUAUGCACGUCUUGACGGUACCUAAUCAGAAAGCCACGGCUAACUACGUG